Molecule: long non-coding RNA, 1838 nt
Organism: Nomascus leucogenys (northern white-cheeked gibbon)
Lineage: Eukaryota; Metazoa; Chordata; Mammalia; Primates; Hylobatidae
Exons: 2
Source: RefSeq, a predicted model, not a curated record
GUGGAAAUAGUUUCUAUCAAAAUUAAAGUAUUUAGAGAUUUUCCUCAAAUUUCAAAUUAUGCGAAUCCCAUUUUCCGCGAUGCUGCAGCGCGGGGGUUUUAAUUGCAGGAUCACGCAGAACGCCACGCCGUGUGAUUGUGACUCAAGGUCUCUCCUCCCAGCUGCUCCCUCCGGUCCACAAGACAAGGAAGACCCUCGGUUUGCCAAGAUCAGCAGCGCUGAGCGACCAGGCAAGACAGUCACUGAUGCCUGAACCGAGUUCACCGAUGUCACGGAGGCCGGGAGGCCCUCAGCAGGGCCCGGGGGCUCCCCACCUCCAGGAUGGCCAAGAAGAAACAGGACCAGGAGCCUAGGGCGCCCUGGGGAGCCCCCGCCGCGCGGGCCAAGGGUGGCUGCCCUCAGAGCUCAGAUGGGCUCCCCGGAGCGGGGCUUCCGAGCCCCUGGAGACGGCGUGAAGGUGCAGAUUCUGCGGCAGGUCCGGUCCCGCGUUUCUAACAAGCCCCCGGGUGACGCGGCUGCUGCCUCCGCGGCACGGUGGGCACAAGGGCCGUGGGCUGGGGCCGGCCUGGGCUUUCAGGCCUUUCCACGCUGACCCGACACCGACCAGGCCGCAGCCUGGGAACCGGAGCCGGCAGCUGCGGGCCGCUCUCUGGGAAGCGGGACUGACCUCCCCUCCCCACCGUCGCCCCUGCGGUGAGAUCCUGCCUGCCUGGGAGCAGGGCCCUGCGGCUGGGCUCUGGGAGACAGAAGUGGCCCCACGGCUCGGGCCCCACGCAGUGGACACUGACACUUAAUGUUGGUGUAAUUGAUGUCAAUUCGGGUACCCAGGCCCCCAGUGAGAUGCCUAAUGAAUUCGCUGCGAUUAACGGUGCUCCACGCCGUGGACGGUGGCCAGUUCUGAUGGAGGCUGAGCCGGCUGGGGAGGCGUCUUGGCCAAGAACCAGCCCCAGCCUCGCUCAGGGCCCCAACCCGCAGACCAUGUAAUUAAGCUGCGUUCUGCAGCCAGGGCAAGAGCCUCAGCUCUGAACACCUCCCCGCACCUCUGAGGAGCCAGGCCUGGAAAGCCUCUAAAAUAGAUUUUUCUGCCUCAAGACAGAAGAUGGGCGUUCCCGGGAGAGAAGAGCUGCCCAGUCACCUGCUCUGCUCCACCUGGUCAGAGACCCUUGACCUUUAGAAGACUGGACCUGAGGGCGUGGCUGGUGGAUCUGAGGACGUGGAUGGUGGACCUGGCCAGCUGUAGCUUUUUGGGUUCUUGUGGUCCCAUUUCUUGGGUCAAUCUCACACCUGCCCGCUCCCAGGAAGAUACCCCCAGGCCCCUCACACUCCUGGGGGCAGCUGGAAUUGGCUUCAGGGCGGGACGAGGGGCCCCAUGGGUGUUUGGAAUCCCUGAUCUGGGUCCGGCACUGGCAGCAGGAUUCUAGCCUGGCCUGGACUCUGGUGUGUCCCGUUUGAAGAAACCCCGCCCUGUGAAAGUUCAAGUUUAGCAUCCAAGGACCCAUUUAAGAGGUUUGCUGAGCCACGUCGCAGGAGGGUCUGGGUGCAAACGGAGGUGGCAACACGCAGAGCGAGCCUUGAGCACCCAGGUUACCCCCAGGGCUUCCAGUCCAGCCUGGGGGCUCCUGCCGUCCUGCGGAGCAGCCCCCUGGGAUCAGGGACGUGGCUGAGCUGGAGAGUGUGCAGGAUUGAAUAAUGAUGUCUGCCACGGUCAGGCCAACUGCUGUGUUUCUGUGGCCCACAAGCUAAAAAUGGUUGGAAAAAAAUCAAAACAUUAAUAUUUGUGACAUAUGAGAAUGCUGUGAAAGUCAACUUUCCUGUCCAUAAAUAAAGUUUUAUUGACA